CCGUAGAGUUUGAUCCUGGCUCAGAUUGAACGCUGGCGGCAGGCCUAACACAUGCAAGUCGAGCGGAAACGAGUUAUCUGAACCUUCGGGGAACGAUAACGGCGUCGAGCGGCGGACGGGUGAGUAAUGCCUAGGAAAUUGCCCUGAUGUGGGGGAUAACCAUUGGAAACGAUGGCUAAUACCGCAUGAUGCCUACGGGCCAAAGAGGGGGACCUUCGGGCCUCUCGCGUCAGGAUAUGCCUAGGUGGGAUUAGCUAGUUGGUGAGGUAAGGGCUCACCAAGGCGACGAUCCCUAGCUGGUCUGAGAGGAUGAUCAGCCACACUGGAACUGAGACACGGUCCAGACUCCUACGGGAGGCAGCAGUGGGGAAUAUUGCACAAUGGGCGCAAGCCUGAUGCAGCCAUGCCGCGUGUGUGAAGAAGGCCUUCGGGUUGUAAAGCACUUUCAGUCGUGAGGAAGGUGGUGUAGUUAAUAGCUGCAUUAUUUGACGUUAGCGACAGAAGAAGCACCGGCUAACUCCGUGCCAGCAGCCGCGGUAAUACGGAGGGUGCGAGCGUUAAUCGGAAUUACUGGGCGUAAAGCGCAUGCAGGUGGUUUGUUAAGUCAGAUGUGAAAGCCCGGGGCUCAACCUCGGAAUAGCAUUUGAAACUGGCAGACUAGAGUACUGUAGAGGGGGGUAGAAUUUCAGGUGUAGCGGUGAAAUGCGUAGAGAUCUGAAGGAAUACCGGUGGCGAAGGCGGCCCCCUGGACAGAUACUGACACUCAGAUGCGAAAGCGUGGGGAGCAAACAGGAUUAGAUACCCUGGUAGUCCACGCCGUAAACGAUGUCUACUUGGAGGUUGUGGCCUUGAGCCGUGGCUUUCGGAGCUAACGCGUUAAGUAGACCGCCUGGGGAGUACGGUCGCAAGAUUAAAACUCAAAUGAAUUGACGGGGGCCCGCACAAGCGGUGGAGCAUGUGGUUUAAUUCGAUGCAACGCGAAGAACCUUACCUACUCUUGACAUCCAGAGAACUUUCCAGAGAUGGAUUGGUGCCUUCGGGAACUCUGAGACAGGUGCUGCAUGGCUGUCGUCAGCUCGUGUUGUGAAAUGUUGGGUUAAGUCCCGCAACGAGCGCAACCCUUAUCCUUGUUUGCCAGCGAGUAAUGUCGGGAACUCCAGGGAGACUGCCGGUGAUAAACCGGAGGAAGGUGGGGACGACGUCAAGUCAUCAUGGCCCUUACGAGUAGGGCUACACACGUGCUACAAUGGCGCAUACAGAGGGCGGCCAACUUGCGAAAGUGAGCGAAUCCCAAAAAGUGCGUCGUAGUCCGGAUUGGAGUCUGCAACUCGACUCCAUGAAGUCGGAAUCGCUAGUAAUCGUGGAUCAGAAUGCCACGGUGAAUACGUUCCCGGGCCUUGUACACACCGCCCGUCACACCAUGGGAGUGGGCUG
Molecule: ribosomal RNA, 1434 nt
Filed under: Vibrio parahaemolyticus
Lineage: Bacteria; Pseudomonadati; Pseudomonadota; Gammaproteobacteria; Vibrionales; Vibrionaceae
Description: bacterial SSU rRNA
Rfam family: Bacterial small subunit ribosomal RNA
Source: RNAcentral